GGAUGUGAGGGAGAUCUGGCUGUGACAUCUGUCACCCUAUUGAUUGCCAGGGUUGAUUUAGCUAAUCUCUCUGCCUAGGUAGGUGUCCCCUUCCUUCCACACUGUCCCUGCUGUUGUGGACCUAUCACACUGGUCAAGAAAAUGACUUUCCCCUAUAAAGGAGGACUAUGAGUAUGGAGUAACUGUGCUCCCUGCUAGAACCUCUAAGCAAAUUCUCAAGAAUACGAAGGCCAGGUGUGAUCCUCAGUAGGUGUUGCUAUUCUCUUCACUAUGGAUGAAGCAAAUGAGGCAAGGCAGCAUGCCUGACCAG
Unclassified non-coding RNA from Marmota marmota marmota (Alpine marmot), 310 nucleotides. Its record names the gene 7SK. It matches the Rfam family "7SK RNA". Rfam says of the family: 7SK was discovered as an abundant small nuclear RNA in the mid-70s but a possible function has only recently been suggested. Two independent studies have found that 7SK RNA binds the CDK9/cyclin T complex (known as elongation factor P-TEFb). NCBI's taxonomy places the organism in Eukaryota, Metazoa, Chordata, Mammalia, Rodentia, Sciuridae. The record is from Ensembl.